This 394-nucleotide ribosomal RNA is filed under the name uncultured bacterium. RNAcentral's name for it is "partial 16S ribosomal RNA". It matches the Rfam family "Bacterial small subunit ribosomal RNA", at positions 523 to 919 of the family's 1533-position model. The record is from RNAcentral.
AUACGGAAGGUCCGGGCGUUAUCCGGAUUUAUUGGGUUUAAAGGGAGCGCAGGCGGAGAUGCAAGCGUGACGUCAAAUUUCGGGGCUCAACCCCGUCUCGCGUCGCGAACUGCGUCCCUUGGUUGCGGGAAGGGGAGGCGGAACUCGUGGUGUAGCGGUGAAAUGCAUAGAUAUCACGAAGAACUCCGAUCGCGAAGGCAGCCUUCCGGCCCGUCAACGACGCUCAUGCUCGAAGGUGCGGGUAUCAAACAGGAUUAGAUACCCUGGUAGUCCGCACAGUAAACGAUGGACACCCGCGGUUUGGCCUAUAUGGCUGAGCCGCCAAGCGAAAGCGUUAAGUGUCCCACCUGGGGAGUACGCCGGCAACGGUGAAACUCAAAGGAAUUGACGGGGG